Molecule: unclassified non-coding RNA, 706 nt
Filed under: Tetradesmus obliquus var. dactylococcoides
Lineage: Eukaryota; Viridiplantae; Chlorophyta; Chlorophyceae; Sphaeropleales; Scenedesmaceae
Description: sequence contains 5.8S rRNA gene, ITS2
Rfam family: 5.8S ribosomal RNA (bases 261-410)
Source: RNAcentral
UAACAAGGUUUUCCGUAGGGGAACCUGNUAANAGAUGCAUUGAAUAAGCAACCCCAGAUGCCAACUUUUAGGUUGCGUGCCGAAUAUGCGACCAAGNACAANGNCUGGCUUGGUUGACCAUGCUAGCCGGNGCGAUUGGUUGAGACUAAUACCNUUGUUUGGCCCAGUCGCUUUGGUUUGCACAGCUGUUGUGCUAACCACUGUCGAAAACCAAACUCCGAAGCUUUGAAUGCUGUUAACUGGCAAGCUUAAAUAAAGACAACUCUCAACAUCGGAUAUCUUGGCUCUCGGAACGUUGAAGAACGCAGGAAAUGGCAUACGUUGCGUGGUAGGCAGAAUUGCAGGAACCUGUGAAUCUUUGAAUGCAUAUUGCGCUCAGCCUCCUCGGGCGAGCACAUGCAUCUGCGUCUCAGCUUCGCUUCAUCCCCUCUCCCCUCUCUGAAUUUGGAGGGCUGGUCAACUUCUAGCUUGAGGGGAGGGGUGGAUCUGGCUUUCCCAAUUGUGUCACUCCGAUUGGGGUGGCUGAAGCAUAGGCUUAAGCAGACGCCUAUAUGGGCUUCAACUGGAUAGACCUGCACCGGCUUCUGCCGACUACACGAACUCCGCGUUGACACUUUGCUGGAGGUCAACUAGAAAGAUGCCUUGCAUGACCUAAACUUUAUACCUAAUGCUCACGAAAGGCUACCCGCUGAACUUAAGCAUAUCA